AAAUUUCACUGAUCGGAAAUGUCUUGCCCAAAAGCAAUUCCCGCUGGAAAAAGUCAAAAGGGUUCCUGGCAUUAAAACGACCUUGCGUCAUUCCUGAUGAAAUUAGCAGCGCUGCAUGUUUAGAGACUUGCUAUGGAUGCACUUUGGUCACAGUAAGAAGUCAGAGAUUUGGGGUCUAAUCCCCUGUCUGAGCAGAAGCCGUUUGCUUUCACUAGCUGCGAAUCCCGAGACCAGCACUCGAAAGCGUCUUAGACCCGCAGUCCAUUUUUUACUUGUCUUUAAGUGCAAGUGAUGGGAAUUGCUAACCUCGGCUAAGAAAAUUUCAUUUCCCCCAUCCUGCUAAACGGUUCUGGUCGACAUAUGUUUGUUAUCAGAGAGAAGUGCUAUGAACACAGAGCCAUUUUCUUAGCAGCUCUUUGACUCUGUGUUACCAUAGUCCCACACGGCAUUGGUCCUUUCCCGUUGGGAAGUCAUGAAUAAGAGACUGUGAAGCUUGCACGUCAGAUCUUCCUCAAUUAAUCCACCAUUAGCAUGUUUGGGAUCCUCUACUGGAUGGUUAACAGCAGCUUUGGUAACUGUAUGCUGUCCAUACCCAAUUAUGCUCUGCUAAAAAUGAACUCUGCAGAACAACCUUCCUGAGCUGUCAGUGUCUCCCGUUUUCCUAUUUUAACGCUUGUGUGUAGUGGCAGGCGACAGAUGGUGUAGAUCAGAUCGAUUUGAUUGCAUUAGGCGAUUUUUUUUCCUCCUCUCCCCCCCGACUCCUUUUCUGGAAGCCCACAUUCAGCUGAGAGGCGAUCGCCGGGGACAUGGGAAGCAAGAGCAGCCGCCGAUGUGUGAAAGCAACGAGACACGGCCAGCCAGAGGCGCCGGGGUCCCUUCCCGGGGUUUGUUAACAUGGUAAUCCGGCACCAGGAGAGAAAGCUGCUUUCUGCUGCCCAGAGCCCGUUCCCCAUCACACAUCAGAUGACUCCCUGGUUUUACACACAGUUGGAGUUCUGCUUGAAACCUGGAUUUAAAGGGAAUCUGUUGCUGCGUGUGACAUCCCUUGCGAGCUCCCAGGGAGAACUGAUGGAGCAUACAGCUAGGGAAUAGGAUGCCGGAGAAGCGCGGAGGAAGAGACCGGGCAACCACCAGGACGGGAAGGCACCGCGCCCGCUGGAUAUGGGACGGGAUCGCUCGGCUACCCUUGUGGAUUCUCCUUCUGCUAGAGGGGAAUUAUAGUUAUGGAUUUAUUGCCCCGGUGCAGCACUUCCAGCAGCAGCAGCAGCAGCAGCAGCUUUCUGACUCUCUUCGGUGACGGGUAUUCUUGGGUGGAUAAUACGGAUUACGUUGUUAUUGCUUAAGAAUACGCGUAGUCGAGGAGAGUACCGGCGGCGGGCAGGCAGGCAGGCAGCGCGACCGCCCCCAGCCCACCAGCUGGCUCCCAACCUCCUCUAGUUGCCAAGAUGGAAUGAUGAAAACACGUGUUCCCAUGCAAUUACUUGCUGCUGCCUUAUAAAAAGCCAAAGCAUAAAUCAACUUCAAUAUGGAGUAAACUAAUAGCAUCAUUGUGAAAGAACAACCUGAAGAGUUUUGCCCUACUACUGAAAAUGAAAGCAGACCUCAGCUGAUGAGAGUAAGCCUCUGUAAAGAGAGGUUUAAGAUGAGAUGUGAAGGUGUUUGACUCGGCUUUCCCAGCCUGCUGAGAAUGAAUUUUGGAAUUGGGCUGGACAAGAGUUAAGAGCACAUCUUCCAUGUACCUUUGGCUUGUAUUUUGGAGAGGCCGAUAUGCUGUCCUUGGGUCAUCUGAAACAUCAGCUGCCCUAACAGAGAAGAGCUGACUGGUGAUAAAUGCACUGAUCCUAUUUAUGCAUCACUUUCCAACUCAUCAAAGCAAUUUUAAAAUCAAUAUGUUACAUUUAACAGGGAGGCCAUGCAUUUCUCUCUGGGCAGGAAUAACACGCCGAGUCUGCUAAGGGAGAAUUAACGUUCCAGGUGCAGCGUUUGGUACAAACCACAGAAUAUAAAGAAUAUUCCAGGAAAGCCAUAAAGGGAGAUGACGCAAAGAUGUUUUCUGGGAUGUUAAAAAUACAGCUAUGCUUGUGAGCUGCUGUGUGAGCUGGAGUGCAGGAGACAUCCGCAGAUGUCAGGAGUGCCGUGCUGAGUCCUGAGCAGCUCCUGCCAUUUUAACGUGUAACGAGGCCAGGGGACAGCUUUGUGCAGCAUUCAUAACAUAAUGCAGCUGAUGUACGUAAAGAUGUCUGAGAGGGGAAGGCAGGUCUGCCAGCAGUGCUGUUGAUACCACAGUGAUCUGUCUGGGCCGGGGGCUGCCGACUCGAAUGCAGGGCUGCAGGAUCAAGCCGCUGCGUUUUGAAUGGGUUUGAGCUGUUCCUAAAUAAAGCUUCAUUAGUUAGGGUGGCACCGCUCUGUCUGCUUCCUACUGAGCAGCAGGAAGACAAAGAGAGCAUCUACAAUCGUAAUAGUUUAACAGAAAUUGAUUUAAAGCCUGGAAUAAUAGGAAGCUUAGAGAGCCUGGAUGAGAGAUGGUGUUGGGCAGAAAGAGGUGGGAAUGAAGAGGAGCAAAGCCCAACCAGCUGCAGACGAAGGAGGAGUGAAUCUUCUCUUUUCAUCUGUUGGUUGAAGCACCACAUCUGCAAACAGAUGUGGAUGUUCAUGAUGCAUCUAGGAAACUGUUCUCCUUGACUUCGUGACUUGUUCGUAGUGCCGCGCUCUCAGCCCCAGGCAGACUGGCUGCAUGGCCCUGGGCAAAUGGGCACCCAGGGUCAUUACGCAGGUUCUGCCUUACUGUGUGCUCUGGUGAAAGGCUUGCAUAUGGCUUCCAGCUUUCAGAGAUUUCUGGUCUGUCCAAAAUACUUAGGACUGCAACAUCUUAGACCUGUGCAUGUCUUUGUCUUUUUUUUUUGAUUGCUGAAUGUGAAGUAGUUUGGCUUUUAUGAUGUGUCUAUGUAUAUGAUUUUAGUAGCUUGGAUUGCUUUUAUAUAUUUAUGGUGAAAAUUACAGCUGCUUAAAAAUUGAUUAUUGAUCAUAGGAAGACACUAGAUGUUUUUAAUCUUCAGAGGCAGAAUUACAAAUUAUUAAGUGAUAUAAAGUAUUUUAGUUAAGGGCAUUUUAUUAAAAACACUUCAUCUAGCAUUUACAGAAAGGAAAUACAUUGUGUUUCUUUAUGUGAGGUCUCACAGAAAAACAUGGUGGGACUUAGCCCUUGUCACUCAGUAACUGCACUGAUGUUAAUAAGACAAGAUUAGAUUCUUUCCGAAUUGCAUAAAACACUGAAAGAUUCAAAAGCAGGGGUUUGGGGAGCUGUAGCAUUCCAAUUGCAGUGGAUAAACUAUCUGCAGGAGUUGCGAUCUGUUUGCACACACACACAAUACGUUCUAGUUUUCUACUGAAAAUUUAUGACUACUGUCAUGUAUGCUAUAUAUAGAAUGUCUGAUCAUGUAUGUAAAUGUACAUAUAUUUACACAACAAUGUGUAUACACAUGUAUAUAGUAUGUAUAUACAUACACACUGUAUCGUGCUUUGAAAAUCCAAAGGCUGCGUUAGGCCAUGCAGCAGGUGCCUUUUUGGUGCAUGCGGAGCAGUGCCCGUCCCAGCCUCCCUGAGGGUCUGCUCGGCACGAGGCUCUGCCAGGCCCUGGGCAUGAGGAGCUGCAGCAGAGGCUCCCUCCCUUUAUUUCUUGUGACCAGGUGCCUGAAUAUGGGGGCUGCUUACACGCUCUGGAGUAGCGGCUGUACCAGGUGUGCGGAUGGGGACGUGAGGCUGGCAGGCCGAGCCUUGUGAAUCAGGUAGAAGAGAGGCCUUCAGCACGGGGUCUGCACUCUCUGUCAGUGCUGGGGCUGAGCAGGAAACUGGUUCCUCCCUUGGGGAAGAUGACCAAAGAGACACGAUGUGCUCCAGGAGGCCGGUGGGGCUGCAGGAAUGCCAGAUGCCUUUGCCAUUAACCUGCUCUCCUUAAGCUGGCUCAGGAGCUGAAUAGUUCACCAGGGUAAAUCCCAUCCUUUCAAAAGGCAGCAGAAAUACCACCAUUAUGAUGUUCUGACGAACCAAAAUAUUUUUGUUUGCUGCAAAGGUUUAAUUUGUGUGCAGCCGUGUUUCCCCCUUAGGAUGUCAAAGAAAGAGGCUGUGCUAGUGCCGCGCUGCCUGCCUUGCCCCGAUGACAAAGUGCUCCUGCGGCAGAAGUCACCUUCUGUGUUCAGCCAAGCUCGACUGGAGUUGUCCCUGUGGCUGUGCCGCCGAGGGACUCUGAGGGCAGUUGCGGGUGCAGAGCCAUGGCACCGUAUUUCAAGCGAUAAUAAAAACUCCUCGGAUAAAUUGAGGGAGCGUGGCUUUCUGCUGCAGCACGUUGGGGGUACCUAAGCCAGUCUAUCAUUGUGCGAAGGCAGCAGAUGCAGUCAGUGCUCGGAGGAAAUGGUUCAUGACCCGAUGAUGCUUCCCAAGGGAUGCAGCCAGGAAACAAAGAGGCGCUGGGGGCUCCUGGGGUGGGAGCAGCGCCGAGGGGAGGGCGAGGGAAGCAGCAGGAGAGGACAAUGGGAGGAGCGAGCAGGAAGGCACAGUCCAAGCCGAGAAGCCCUUUUUGCUUCAGGCUGUGUGGCUGGACGCAGUGCUCUGGGUGCUGGGUGGGAUGCUCGCUGCACAAGCUUAUUGAAGGCGAUCCCUGGGAAAGCAUGCAUUGAUGGGGUGCUGCCAGAGUAUUUUAGUCCAUGUGCAACCCAUGCUGAGAAUAGGGGAGCACUGGUGUGAAGCACCGCCUGGCUGCGGGUCCAGGGCAGGCAGCCAGGGUGCUCCCCGGGGGCUGUACCCUGAGGAAGGACACCACGAGGCUGAGGGGAGAAGCUGGCCUGGCCUUGGGUAAAUCCUCAGGUGUGUCCCUGUCUUCAGCUGAUGUCACAGCUGUGGAGGAAACACCUGGUGGUGGUGGACCAGAGACAGAGUGGCCCCUGGGCUGUCCCAAUCUCUGCACCCAUCCCACAGCUGUCACACGGGCAGACGUGGCCAUGCCAGUGUGUGGAUGAAAGCAAACCCUAUGCAGCGUGGGCCACAGCAUGUCACCCCAGUACCAUCCCUGUGCUCCCCCCUUCAGGGCUCAUUUGUUGGUGCUUUUGCUCCAGCUGGGUGUUUGGCCCCAUUGUGUUUGCAUCAGACAAAUCCAGCCCAGCUGUGCUGGUGCAAAGGAGCAAAUAGUUUCAGAAAACAACUGUAAGAUAAAGAUGUAACAAAUGAAGACAAAAAUGUUGCUAACAGGCCUCAUUGGUGGUGACGUUAUUUGCAAAUAGCACUUGGAGAUUAAAAAAAAAAAAAGUGAAAUAAAGCAGCUUUUCUCUGAACCUGUCUGUGCUAAAGCCACACCCUUGCUCAGUCCCCACCUGAUGCUGGUUUUCCCCUGUCCCCACACAAAGCUGUGGCUGUGUGGGCGCUUGCUGGGGCCUGGGAUGCCCCCACGAGGAGGGUGAGCUCAGUGGAAGAGGGACAGCAAGGGCUGUGCUGGUGUGCUGCUGUGGUACCAGGCAGGGCUCACCCCACACCAAGGGUAGGUCCCCAGUCGUUUGGCUUGAGUGUGUGUUGGAGCGUGUGUGUGUGCUGAGCCUGGGACACAUCGCUGUGGUGCUGCAUCUUCUCAUGGGUAGUCACGGUGUUCCCUGCUGCCCUGUGACUUGCAAUACCUAUUUUAUUAUUUACACAAACUCAUGUUCUUGCUGUCCUUGGGGAAUUUCACCCAAGUAAGCGCUGAGCUACUUCAUCUCCCUGUGAAUCCAUAAACACAAACACCUUGGAUGUAGUUUUUCUGCUACUGUGGUCUCUAUUAUUCACUUUGGCAAUGUCCUUUUUAAAGAAGCUAAUAAACCUGUCACGACAAGUCCAUCAAAUCUCAGCAGGAUGCUUCUUUCACUUCUGAGGUUCCUUUCAUAACCAGCCUGCAUGCUGGCACCAUUCGUUAGAAGCAUCCGGCCAGCUUUGUUCUUUAGCAUUAUUGUGCAAUGCUUUUUUUUUCAUGGUACCUGAAGCUCAUAAGACAACUAUCAGUUUGCCUCCUGAUGGGGGAGAAGGCGUUUGUAUUGUGUUUCAUGUCUCGCGUCUCUGAAAAGGACUAGGAAACAUAAGCACAGUAACUUGUGGGUUUUCUGUCUUAGAGAAUUAGGAUGUCUUUGCAUUACUGAGCAGGCAAACAUUGAGCAGCGCUUGAUCAAUAAGAGGCAUUGCCAGAGGUCUGGUGUAGUCUACAGCAGCCAGCGGUAAGUGUUGCUAUAGGCUAUGGAACUAGGAAUAUAAAAUGUCGAAUGGCAGUAAUAAUUCAUGCAUCCUGGGACAUAUAAAACCAACAGUAUGUCAAUAGCUGUGGCAUGCUCUGCAGAAAAUAUGCAGGAUUUAGAUAUCGCAGGAGCCUGUGUUUUACUUUAAACCACACUUUCCUUGGUGAAAUAUAGACUUUCCCUAUUUGGUAAAAGCAUUUAUUUUCAGUUUAACGUCGCUGCUUUUCUAUUAAGAUUCUAAGAGAUGUGCAGCUCAGAAGGGGUCCCGAGAUUCAGAGAUUCGUAAAGCAAAAUACAUGUAUUUAUUGAAGAAAAAACACAUAAAAGACUUGUAAAACAGGGUGCAAUAGUAUUUGAAAUUCAUGGACCACUUUGGCAUUCAUAAAAGCAUAUAUGGUUCUCAUGUUGGCUUUACUGGGGAUUGGACUGUGCUGGCUGGGUUACCCAGGAGAUAUCUCUCAUUCCCUGUGUGAAGCUCAUUACAACCACUUCGUAUUUUACUUGGAAAGUGAAAUAUCUUGUGAAAUAAGUGAGAACUUCUCCAGUAUUCAUCCUCCUGAAAAUACUUCAGAAUAAUUAAUAUUGCUUGACUCCUGUGAAAAGAUACUAAAGAGGGUGAAUUAUUGCAUCUGGGAGGCUACGGUAGGCAUCAGAAUAAAGACUGCAUCCAUCUGAUACUGGGUCUCCUCUGUGCCACUGCUGCUUGGGAACAUAGACGUGAUGAGUGCUAUUUUACCUGCUAAGGCUCCCACAAAAAUUCUUCACAUGAAACUUUAAUGAGAAAAGGGGAAAAAAAUGUUCAAGCAGACCCUUUCUAGUGCUUUCAGCUGUGUGCUCUUAUGCACUCUAGCCGUGUGUUGCCAGGCCUCAAUUUUGCUAAAUCUGCCUGGAAGUAGAAAGGCAAAACAGAGAAGUUGCUUGUCACUCAUGAUUAUAUGAAUAUGGGCCUUAACAUACAGGUAAUACUUCUAAAAGAAUUUAAAAUAUUAACAACAACAACAAAAAAAAGGCAAGAAAGGCAUCACAAAGGAACCCACCAUGCAUUAUUUAAAUCUUCUCUCAAGCUGAGGGCUGAAACGCAUCCGCAUCGUCUGCUCUUCCAAGUGACAACGAUCCCUCCGCUGGAGGGCUGGGGGUCCCGGCUCCCAGUUGUCUACUCUGCAAUAUGUAUUUUUUAAAGUGCAGAUUCAAACAAUAAUUAAACAUCUUAUAUAAUUUCUACGUUUUGAAGACCGCAAAGUGAUUUAAGUGCAGUGGACUGUAUCUAUACAAAUAGGCACUAAUAGAUAUUUCAGCACAUCUUGCUGAAGCAGAUGUUAAAUAAAAAAUAAAAAUUAAGCCCGCUGACUCUCUGAGACAUAUGAAAGGGAUGUCUUUGUUCUGAGCAGAGCAAGUUGGCUCAUUCUGCUCCUUCGGCUUGGUUCGAGGAGGAUGUGUUUUGCAGUCCUCCCAUGAUACUUGGCAAAUUUAAAGCUGUCACUGUUGAUCCUGCUUCUCUUUGUAUUAAAAGAAUGUCUGUGGUGUUUAUAUUAUGGGGGAAAAUGCUAUUUCUGCUGAUUGUAUUUUCAUUGUCUCUUUUCUUAUGACUGUACUGUUUGCCAGCAGCUGAGGGGCCACUUUGAUGCUUGCUCUGAUGCCAUGGUUUAUUGUGUAGCACAGUUGAGCCUAGGGUUUUCCUUUCUCAUCAGAGCUGACAUACUGGGUAAAAAAUAAAGCUUUUAUUUAAUUAUGGUUAUCUCAUAAAGUCUGCGUUUGUUAUAGCUGAUAGGGUGCUGGAAACCAAAGUUUGUAAAUACCUAUGUAUGUUCUGGUUUGUUUCUAAUCCCAGUGUUGUUUUGCCUGCUUCUGUUCCUCACCCUGACCAUGCACAUGAGCAGGCUUGCAAACCUGUUUGUGGAGUGAAGAUAGCAGGAAUACGUGCAUGCUACAGCCUCUACUUUGUUCACUGUUCCUGCUUAAAGGGAUUAGCAUCCAAUGAAAGAAAACGAAUGAACCUUGUUUCAGGAAUUCACUCAGGGAAGGGAGUAGCCAAAAUAAGCAGAGCCUUGGUGCUGGCGGCAGAGACAGAAGCAGCUUAUCUGGGUUCAGGUGUGUGGCGUGAUGCCUGCCUCUGCCUUGCUGCUGCGAGAGGUGUACGGGUUCACCCUGGGUGCUGGUGUGUGUGGUCUGACCCUCAGGUACCCACAGAAAGAUGCUUGCUGGCCCCGUUCCCCACCCCUCUGCUGAGCCCAUGCUGCAUGUCCUUGUGGUGAUGCCAGGCAGAAUUUGAGCAAUAUCCACUUGAAUGUAGCUAUUCCUUUUCUUCCUGUGUCUCACAGCUAUUUGCAAGCUGAUGAGAAACCAUUCUGUCUCCAUUUUGCAGAUGGAAAAGGAGGGACUUCGAGAGACUGUGUGAUUUGUCUGGGAUGAUGCAGCAAAUCAAUGGGAGGAAAAAAAAAAAAAAAAGGAUCAGGCCACUCCAUGCAAUUUAGGGGUGCCUUUAACUGCCCCAGGGGCUUCCUAGGGGAAGGUAUUCCAGUUCCCAAAGAGACAGCUUCUAUCACAGGAGUGUUCCUCCAUUAUUUCUGUCAGAGUAUUGCUGCUAACAGCGGAGAAAUGCAAAAUAUAUUAUUCAUCUCUCCUACUUAUAAAAUCAAUACCUAUGAAAAUACAAAUACAAUUUAAAUCAAAGGGCACUUGUUCAGUGCAGAUCCUACUAAUUAGGUAUGAUUUCCCAACAAUUUCUUAAAUUAUUUAUCCAAAAGAUGGGUAGCAGGCAAUUUAUGUGCCCCAGAGUGAAUAUUAUAAACCUCUUGUCAUGAUACAGCAAAUGUGAAAUGUACUGCAAUGCAAUAUGAUUUGUAACCCUGAUGAACUAAUGCAAUAUCAAUAGACAUCAAUCUGUGGAAAAAAUCUGUCUCGUUAUAACAUCUAACGAGAUACGUUGAAAGCCAAUAACCUUGUGAAAUGGACAUGCCUUGGUGAAGGAUACAGAUUGUGCUGCUAGGAAUCAAUUAAGACUGUAAUACCCACCUGUGAUGGAAGUUACUAAGCCACCACCACCAAAAAAGAGGUUUACAUUAUGCACGGACAUCCAUCGUGGAAGCAGCUCCUUCUUGGCUGGCGGCUGGCUUUCCGAGCAAUUCCACUGUCAUAUUUAGGCCUUUUUUCUCAUGCUGGCAUUGCAUAUUCUAGUUCCAGAGUCAACAUCUAAGCAAUAUUUCUCCCAUAUCUGGUUAAGGACAAUUUUAAAAAAAUUCAAAGAGAAGAACCAAAUGGUUUUGAAGAUUUUUGUGUACAAAAUAGGAGGCAGAUCUCCUGUAAAGUGAAGGGUCUACAUUUGCUAGUCAAUAAUGUAGACCAAUGCUCCACAAUUUUUAAUCAUAAGGACUUUUCUUAUGCAGCUCCUUUGGGUAUUUAUUUUCAAAUAUAAACUCCCAUUCGUAUAGUAGGUCUUAAAAAUUCAAGCUUGCAAGCCACCCAGCAACUGAAAAUCCUUAAUUGCAUUACAUAAAUGUAUCUACUCACCAGGUUGUUUUCUGUCGAUGAUUGAAAAGAAGUCUGAAAUAUUAGGCAUUACCACUCAGAUCUUAAACCUCUCCUCAGCACCUUCCUCUACAGCCAUCGUAGCGACCAGGCUACUGAAAAAGGCAACAGUAUCUUGAGCAAAAAGCUGGAGUCGUCCAAAGUGCCAGCACAUUUCAGUUACUGCAGCAGCCUGUGAUCUUACUGCACCUUUGGCAGUACUUAGAGGGAAACAAGGCAAAGCCUUAACUUGGGAUUUCAUGGCAUUUUAAAGUACAAGUCAGAAUUUUAAUGGUAUUUAAACCUUCCUUAUUAGUAGUACAAUAAGUGUCUUUCAGCUAGUGUUCAGCAAAUUCCUUCCUGGUGGUCUGUAAAAGGCAGUUCUGAAAGUCACAGAGCUGGAGACUGAAUGUGGGGUAUGUGGCCAGCUCGGGAGUGGGUUGCUGUGCUUGAUCUGAUGGGAGGACUCGGAGCAUCUGAGGAAGUGCUGCAUUAAGGCAGUGCUACCGCUCUCCUUACCAUGGGCUGUUCAGGUAGUAGUACAAUGUAUGAAGAAGUGUUGCGUGAAUAUGCUGGUUAUGUAGGAUUAGUUCACCAUCAUUCAGCUCUUCUUAUAUUAUUACUGUUUUUAAUUAAUGGAGAUUUGGAAAGUAUUUGUCUGGCAGGUGUGAGAAAAAGGUUCAGUCCCAGAGUGUUUAUGUUAGGAAUUCUAGGUACAUCAAGUGAAGAGACAGUCCUAUGAUAAUGUUUUGCACUUUCUCAUCCCAUUCUUAUUUAAAUUAGAACAAGCUAUCUGGAAGGAACAUCAAACAUUGCAACUACUGUUUAGUGGUAUUUUCAUUUUCUUGUCCUGCCUAAUUUCUUUCAGACAUAUUUAAAAAGUGUGUGUUUGUACAUUAGUGACUGCAAAGGUUACCUAAAUUAACACCACAGACUAAUUUUGUUUUAAAUGGAGGGAGGAGCACAUCUGUUUCAAACAGCUUUGUAAUAUGCCUUUUGUGAGUUCAAAUCACAUAUAGUAAUAACCGCUUAAGGGAGCCGCUACAUGCACAACUACUUAUUUGCAAUAGUUUUAACCAGUGCAGCUAUAAAACAGCACUAACAUUUUGGUGCAUUGAAAUAGGUUCCUCCUUUCCUCUCCCCUUGAAAAUUCAGCCUAUGUCACUGUUUAAUGGAUACCAAAGAUGAGUUUGUGUUCCUCCCCACGGCAGAUGUGUUAUUUGCUGUAGGACUGUUUGGGUAUAUCUUUUAUAUUUUGUAUUCAUCUUCCUUAGAAAGAGGCAUGAAAUGUUUUGUAGUUGUAAUUAAUAUUAUUUUUCAGCCAGGAAUUGUUAUAAUUAUAUAGCACUAUAAAUAUAAUUGAGAUAACUCUCUAGAUCAUAUCUCUGGAUUGAAUUUAGGGGUUAAAAGUGUUGCUGUUCAUCACACCUGCUUAGGAAGGAUAUAGUUUGGAAAUGAUCACAAACAUCAUACCUCAUGCAAGCCUAGAUCAAAUGGCUUACGUAAAUAGAGAAAUAUGCCUUUUUCCAUUGCUGUCCUUUCUACAGAUAAGGAUGUGUACAGCCUGCAGGUAUCUACACUGGGCAAACUGAAAGUAAACAAAUAGAAAUGUGUUCAACUGAGAAAUUUCUAUUGUAAACGAUUUUGCCUUAAAAUGUGGAAGGAUCAAAGAAAUGCUUUGCAGAAUAGAUCCUCCAUCUCAGGGAGGAGGCAGAGGACUGCAGUGGUACUGUCUGGCCUCUCUUGCAGUAGCAGGGGCUGGCCAUCUGUAAUGCACCUCUCCUGUGGUACAGGAAAGCACUGUUAACAUUCAUUUUUCAAAGGGAGAGCUGUGACAUGGACAGAAAUUAAGCAACCUGUCCAUACACAUAAGGGAAUUCUUUAAAAGAAAAGGAUUUGAAGAAAGCUGUGUGAGGCUGGGGCUAACACCCUAAACCAUUAGCCAAUCCUUGCAAAAUUUAUGUUGCCAAGUCUGUUGCCACUGAAAUCUGAAAGCAAACAUUAGCAGCCAAGAACAUCAUGCUAAUUAAUUGCCUCACGAGGACACAAUUUCCAAGAUCUAAUGAAAGAUGGAAUCCAGCUCCCAUAUGUCCCGCUUUAUAGCCCAAGAAAAUGUGCCUGUAUUUUUUGUAGAAAGAGUGAGCAAUGUCCAACUACACGUCUCUCAGCUGAAUAAAGCUAAUCACCAGGCCCAGAGACAGAAAUGGCCGUUCAUCAGCAACCGGACUGAAAAGCCAAACCAGGAUCUGUCACUGAAGAACCAUUUUGAUUUACCGUGUUAAAGGCAGCUUCAGAAGGUGAUAAUCGAGCACCUCUCUGCUUUUGUGCUAGGACAACAGUACCCAAUACUGUGCGUGUAGCUACUCUGCAACCUUGCCAGUUCAUUUAAAAUAACAAUAAAAAGUAAGAGUUAACAUGUCAUAUUCUCGACAAAAUAUUGGAAAGAAGACAGAGGUCUCCAUAUCAAUCAAGUCAACAGUAUGUGCCAGCACUGCCUUGCUUGUUCUUGCUUGAACUUGAAAUUGCUGUAAAUGGGGUGUUCGUACCAGAAGGACACAUGUAGCUGCAGGGGAACGGUAAGGGCUGCAGAGAGAGGUGUCCUUAUGGGAGCAUGUCCAUGUCUUGAAUGUGGAUAUCCUGUCCUGGCGUGGCUCUCAGGUUUGAUCUCUAGAGGCACAUGGACUGUAUUACCACAGCAGUUCAGACCCGGAUUCUCAGGGUCGUCAGGGAGCCUCACACGGAGCGGACCGGGAGGCCCCAUGCAAACUGGGAAGUGACAGGACUGUGGAGCAGGAUUUGCCAGACAUCAGUGUACACCCCAGGUCUUCUGAGCAUCGCUUCAUCCACCCAAACACUGCUAGUGUUUGUUAAAUGGUCAAUUUUUGGGAACACUGAAAAUUCUCACCUUCCUCUGUCAUCCUUUAUAUAUGAUACAUGUGGAACUGAUGAUCUGAAAAGAGUAUCUCAACACCAUGUUUAGUGGAAAUGGGCACAGUGAAAGCAGGCACAAAUUGCACAGCAAGGUUUCACCUUAAGUACUGAAGAAAAUAUAUUUUAUUCUGUCUACGUCGGGAUUAAAGAGAAAAAAAAAGUCAAGGUAAGUAAUUAUAACACACCAGCCAUUGUUCAUUUCUUCAAGAUCUCUCUGGUUUGUAGAGAAUAAUGAUAUUUCUGAACUUCAACAACUUCCACACAGGAAGGCGCAUCAUUUUGACGGGCCUCAGUAAAAUAUUUAAAAUCAUAAGGGUGGCCAUUAUGCAGCAUGUGGGAUAAAGUUAGACACAGGGUAGUUUUCUGAAAUUGGGCUUUAAUUUCACACUAGAUUUUAGGUGACACAAAACUCCAAAGGCAUUCCUGGUACUACUCCCUAAGGGAUGAGAUCAGCACUUAUGAGUGCGUGUUUUGAUGACACAGCUCAGAAGAUUAAAGUGAUUUUUAUUAUGGAAGGAUCAAGGUGAUAAAAAGCAUGUAAUACAUGAACAACUCUCAGUCAGACAAGCCAAGAAAGGUCAUAAUCCAUUAUAUUAAUGUUAUAAAUGUUAUCAUAAAUUGAUAGCAGGAUGAUAAACUGGUAUUCUUGCACUUUUUGUUGUUGUUUUAAAGCACUGCUGUUCUUAAACUUCACUCUGUCCUUGUAAGACAAGUUUAAUUUUUCCUCUCAGAAUAAAGGACCUUAAAGAUUUUCAACAUAACGUAAGUAACAUUUACAUGGAGGUUAGAAAAGCUGUUGUAUUUUUUUUUUUUUUUUUUUUUUUUUUACUUUUUAAAGUAACUGGCUGAAGUGUGUCAGCAGAAUCCAAGACACCAUGCACGGAUGAGGGAGGAGAAACCAGCAAUGCGAUAAUUCCAGGCUGUUUGGAUGCUGUCCACCAUUAGUUUAUUUGAACCUUAGCCCCUUACUUUAUAGGGCAUCUAUAAAGCAGGCAAGAUUUAUCACACUUUCAAAAGCUGUCCUGAUGACAGUGACAUUAUGGGCCCUGCUCUCUAGAGCCAGCUGCUGUCUUACAGCUCCUAAAUUCUCACUGCUGUUCACCAAAAAAUCUGCACUGUGACUGUUGAUCAGUCCAGAUCCUCAUUUGUUGUGUUUACUUAGGAUCCUUAGAUCCUCCAGGAUCUCCAAUGAUUUCUAGACCCUAAGGGAGAUGGAUGUUUAGCUGGAGCAGCACAUGCAGUGCAGCAGCAGCAACCACCUUCCCUUUUGGGGGUGGGUGCAGCAGAGGAGCCCUGGUAUGCAGGGGAGUGCUUUUGCUGGAGAAUUUACCUGGGGACCUUCCUGGGGCCUUUCAGAUGUCCACAGGGAUCUGAGCAAUGCCCUCGAGAGGAGGCAGCCCAGUGGCUGUCAGCAGCACAUAGCUCCUGGAAUUACCCCAGCCCUCCUCACCAGGGGCUGCGACAGCACAGUGCGUCUGAGGAGGCUUUCUUCUCAGCAGCACCACUGCCCGGGGGGCUGCAUCCACUGCUGACCAGUUAAGGGCCAGGAGUAGAUCGUUGCCACCUCACAUAAAUCUGUUCCCACCACAGGCUCCCAAGAGAGGGUGAGGGGUGACCUCUGAGCCCCUCCAAAACCAAAGCCUCAUGUCCACGCUCGCUAACUUUACCAGUUCUACAAGGGAAUUACAUCCUGCUGGAGCAUGGACACAUCGGAGGAGAAGCAGCAGCCCAGCUAGCACCGCACAGCUUGGUUUCUGGCACCUGGGGGAGCGGUAUCACGAACUCCAGAAAUGAAAGAGAAAUUGAAGCCUUGCAGCUGGCGUCUCCUGGACAGGCCCUCGCCAUGCGUGGCCACCGUGGAAGCAGCAGAGCUGCGCUCUGAGGGACCUUCUGAAGCCGGCAGCUUCGGGGGCACUGCUGCAAGGUGAGCCUUGGACCUGCCCAUGGUUGGCACUGACUGACUUCGGUCCCGCCACAGCAGAUAGAGCGACAUCCCACGUCCCCUGGGACCCUGACCCAGCUCCAUGUCCAGCAGAGAUGCCUGCGGUGCCAGUGCUGGCUUCGCCCUGCUCGCUGCUGCCUGCCUGCCUCCUCCUGCCGGACCACGGCUCGGCCCAGCCCCGUCCCCACACACCGCGCCGCCGGGCUGCCUGGCAUUUCCAGCCAUCGCAACGUGCAGCGAAAAUGCAAUGUGAAACUGCUAGCGUGGCAUGAGCAGGCUGAGCUCAGUAGAAGUGCAAUUAAAUAAAAAGUCGUGCUGUAAUACUGGGAGGCUGAUUGGAACCACAAGAUACCAGUGUCAUAUCCUGCGGCUUUUAUGUUGGUAGAUGCAGAUUUUAGCCAUUAGCAUCUAGCUAUCCAACAGAUAACAACCAGAGGAAAUGGACCUGGGGAUCUCCAGUUGUGAAUAACAGAUACAUUUUUGCCAGUAAAUUGUGGACCUGGUAAACUGCCAGAAGGAAACAAUUGUUGAGAUAUGGAAGAAUAUGAUCAGGCAUUUAAUAUGUGUCAGCUUCUAACUAUGUGUAACUUAAAGACACUCCCUGAUUACUCACAAAACAUUUAAAACAGUAUGUCAAGAGAACUCUGACACCAGAGAACCCUUGCGUGGCUCUGUUGCCAACUCCAAAUUCAGGCAAGUAAAUAAGUAGCAAUCACAAGACAGGACUGACGUAUCUGUGCGAACAGUAACAAAACCCAGGGCAGGUAUCACGGUAUCUAGGUGUGGGUAAAAUGCUAUGAGAAAAGAAUGAGAAAUAAGUAAAAAAUACAGUAAUGUAAAAUGUACCUGUUAUUAACUUCUAUAAAAUCUUAACAGCUAGGAUUUUUGAAUGUGGUAUUUAGAUGAAUGUAAAGAGAGCAACACAUUGUGUUUUUCUCCAGAGCAAAAUGAAAUCGGCAUACAGAGCAAAUUAUAAUACUUAAUUCUUCUAGGGCAAAUUCCAGUUGAGGAUCAUGAAGUAAUUUGAAAAUAUUAAUGAAUUAGCCUCACAGCUAGCUUUCAGGUAGAUAAUAAUGAUAAUUAUUACUACAAACAAAUAUUAUCAUUCUUGCUCUGAAAUGAAAAUUGAGGCACAGAGAUUUUAUGUAUUUGUCCAAAGUGUUUUACUACUGUAACCAUCCCUCUCUAGAAUUAUUGUAUGUGAAGCGUAUCCUUUUCCAAAUACUCUAUGCGACAUAUUAUUCAGUUUUUGAGCUCUAAAAGCCAAGCAGCUGAGCUUCCUUAUGAUACAGUGUCUGUGAACAUCUCCAUUUGCAUUUGAAUUCUCAAGCAGCAACAAUCCUGCUUAAACGAUAUAAAGAAAAAAGGAAUCAUGAAAAUCAGAGCAAAAUCUGUCAAGGACCCAUCUGUGAGUGGGUAUCAGAAUAUCGCUAAGAUGCUUUGAGGAACAAAGUUCACUCCAAGUCUAACACAUAGUACUUUUUGUCUACGGAAUUAAUUUAAGAUGGGUGAAAUGAGGGCAAAUAACAUGAAAAACUGUUCCUCUACUGACAAAUGCAGGAAAUCAGUAUCUCUGCUGCAAUGGUGAUCUUGUAUUUGGUCCAUGCACACUUGCUUAAAUACUAAAGAGUUUACGUGGCAAAAUACUCAGCAUGCUCAUGUCUCCUUUUGAUGGGCAUGCAUACCUACUGCUUCCUGAGGAGUGUUGGGGAGCAAGGGCUCUCUGGCCCUGGCAGGAUGAGGACUUGGGUUAUGGAUGCUUGUGGCAAAAAGCAAGUUUUCAUAGCCUACUACCUGAAGCAGUGCGGAAACAAAAGGAUAGACUCCAUCUUUGUGUUGAAAAUAUUGCUAAAACCACAUCUCUUUCCUCCUGAACUGGAAUGCAUAAAAGUUAGGAACACCUAUUGGUAGGCUAUUUGUAUCUCCUCUUCAGCAUAUAAAUUCCUGAGAGCCUUCGUCUUAGCUCUUUGCUCUCACACAUGCAUAUUUGGAAUCAUAUUAACUACAAGAAAUAGGAGAAAACUGGCAUUAACAUUAUUCUAUUGCACCAUAUUAUUUUUCCUUCAAAUUUUCAACUGUUAGAGUAUGCAAAUGUUCAGUUAACUGGUCCUCAUGUUUUCUCUUUAUUGAAUUGCUUUCACUAUGGCAAAUUCACUAAUUUAUUGAAUUGCUUUCACUAUGGCAAAUAAAUAUUCAUAAAGAAAUGUGGACAAUAAAUCAUUUCCAAUAGUUCAAAGCCAUUUUCGUUCUAGACUGCAUAUAUAUUCAGCUGUGACUUGCUUUUAAUAUUUCAUUCAAAAGACAGACUUGUAGAAGGACAAUAAUGAUAAUGUGUCAAGUAGUAGUUAAAACAGGGGUUAAUGAUUAAAAACAUUUUGAUC
Molecule: long non-coding RNA, 17006 nt
Organism: Cygnus olor (mute swan)
Lineage: Eukaryota; Metazoa; Chordata; Aves; Anseriformes; Anatidae
Exons: 6
Source: RefSeq, a predicted model, not a curated record